GAUAAACGCUGGCGGCGUGCAUAACACAUGCAAGUCGAACGAAGUGGCGAACGGGUGAGUAACACGUGAGUAACCUGCCUUACACAAGGGGAUAGCCUUUGGAAACGAAGAAUAAUACCCUAUAGGGUAAGAUGGAUUUGCGUCUGAUUGGGUAGUUGGUGAGAUAAAGGCCCACCAAGGCAACGAUCAGUAGCCGGCUUGAGAGAGUGUACGUCCACAGUGGGACUGAGACACGGCCCAAACUCUACGGGAGGCAGCAGUGGGGAAUUUUGCACAAUGGGGGAAACCCUGAUGCAGCGACGCCGCGUGAUUUAGAAGGCCUUCGGGUUGUAAAAAUCUUUUAUAUGGGAAGCGGUACCAUAAGAAAAAGCCCCGGCUAACUACGUGCCAGCAGCCGCGGUAAUUC
Molecule: ribosomal RNA, 406 nt
Filed under: uncultured bacterium
Lineage: Bacteria
Description: partial 16S ribosomal RNA
Rfam family: Bacterial small subunit ribosomal RNA
Source: RNAcentral